AGUAAGUACACAAACAACCAGUUGAAAGUCAAGGAAAAACAUUAGCUAUAUUUUUUAGAAAUAAAGUAUUGACCCUGGUAUUUAAUGAAUCGCAAGUACUUCUGUAUAUUCCUAGCAGAAAAUGCCUAAUGGAUAGUUUUCCAUGUGAAACAUUGUUCUCUUCACACCUCCAGUUUUAAGUAAAGUUCAGUUCAAGUCUUAUUUCCCUUCCCUCUCCUCUAGUUUAAGAAGAAACUUCUGACUUCUUUGACUUGGCUGUUUUAAAUAAUCCAUAGUGCUAUCA
Molecule: long non-coding RNA, 283 nt
Filed under: Bos taurus (domestic cattle)
Lineage: Eukaryota; Metazoa; Chordata; Mammalia; Artiodactyla; Bovidae
Description: long non-coding RNA NONBTAT008973
Source: RNAcentral